AGGACGAACGCUGGCGGCGUGCUUAACACAUGCAAGUCGAGCGGUAAGGCCUUUCGGGGUACACGAGCGGCGAACGGGUGAGUAACACGUGGGUGAUCUGCCCUGCACUUCGGGAUAAGCCUGGGAAACUGGGUCUAAUACCGGAUAUGACCUCAGGUUGCAUGACUUGGGGUGGAAAGAUUUAUCGGUGCAGGAUGGGCCCGCGGCCUAUCAGCUUGGUUGGUGGGGUAAUGGCCU
RNAcentral lists this ribosomal RNA (237 nucleotides) under uncultured soil bacterium. RNAcentral's name for it is "partial 16S ribosomal RNA". It matches the Rfam family "Bacterial small subunit ribosomal RNA", at positions 26 to 266 of the family's 1533-position model. The record is from RNAcentral.